UUAUAUGAAUUGCAUAUGAUGUAAUUGUUGGAAUAGUUGGUUGACUGGUGCAUCGGGUUUAAAGGCUCAGUUUUGUCAUUUUUCAACUAGCAACAUCGGAAUUUCGUACAAACUUGAAUUGCAGUUAUCAUUGUCUGCCAAGGAGUUGCUUGAUAUGGAUAUAAUUUCAAGAGUUCAAGGAGACGAUUUCAAAGUCAAUAAGGAAUUGGAUGUCAUCUUGAUUUUGCUGGUGAUUUUGAGUGCCGAUAAGCCAGAUUUUGAACAGAGUUUGUGUGGUUUUACUGUUGGUUUUAGGUACGCAUGUCUUGAAUUUUGAUUGUUUUAGCAUCCUGAAAUGAUACGGGAACUUGGGUCUGUUUAGAAAGUGAUAUCCCAGGUGUAGAAUCUCUAAGGAGUGCUUAGUACAACAAGGAAAAUCACACCUCUUAGCACCAACAUAACUGCACAUUAAGUGUAUGUGAGAAAUCCUGACAGAAAGGUAUUGAUUUGAUUACUCUGACCACCAUCUGUUUGCACGAGUGGUGCAUGUAUUUGGACCCGUGGCAUCAAAUUGGUACAUUCACUGAACUUGAAUACUUUAUAAAUUUGGUAUAGUAGAUUAUAGUCUCACUCUAUAUUUUUAUCUCUUGCUUAUUAAUAUUGUCAUACCAUUGCUUCCAUUUUUCCGAUGUAACUAGUAUCUCUAUGUUUUUGGAUGUCCGUUGAUACCUGGCUCCGUUUUCUUUAUAAUUGUAUGUCAAAGGAUUUAGAGAUUGUUUAAUGGAUUAGUACAGCAAUCUUGUUAAUUCCACAUCUAUAUACUCCAACAUACAUUUCUUUUGAGAAGAAUAACGAGAAUGGGAUGUAAUGCUAUUUUAAUAUAUCGUUUGGUGACUGAAAACGGACAGAUGAGUACUGUCUUUAAAUUGAAAUGGAGGUAUUGGAUAUGGGUGUCACAUAAUGUUUCUGGAACUAAAAUAGUUUCAUUUCAUUUAGUCUUGACCCCGUCGGGGUAUUCCAUCAAUAUUGCCAAAUUCUAGGGUUAAGAUACCAUGGUAGUAAUGUGCUAAUUUGUUUAUGUGUUAGCAUUCAGCUACCUUACAUACUUGAACAGUCAGGUCAUACUCUUGCAUCAUUAGCCACACGUACCGUAAUGAUGCGACAAUAAAGUUUCUUUUAUGAAAUUUGUGCUUGAUAGGCUAACGAAAAAUAUGUCUCUUUUUGUGUUAGUCUACUGUUAGGACUGUAACUAGUCUCAGAACCUAUUUUGGCUUGUAAUUUUGAGAAUACAUUUCGAUACAUGCAGGCUGAGAUAGCUUAGUUCCAUAAAAUUUUGUGCUAUAGUCGGUGUAACGUUACAUACUCCCAGUCGGCAACUCUACAAAAGUGUAGUUUUACUGGACUUGUUCCCACUCUGUAACUAUAUUGAGACUGAAAUAUAAAUGGAUUUUUAGAAAGUAAAAUAAAGAGCAUUUUACCCGGUAUAAUGAAACUAUUUUAGCCGUGGUGAUUCUGUAAUGAAACUUCACUGUGAUGUAUCUGACGCGGUAUGCUUAUUUUUAUCAGUUUGCUAGUUUUGGCACUUAUAUUCAUUAUUUGUCCUUUAUCAGUGUAUCCCAGUCCACACAUUGGGAAGAAUUUUGGUGAUUAGUGUUUAUUGCUUCUGGCGCAGGUGAACAUUUUGAUGCAUACUGACGAAGUCUCUUUUAGUGCGCGGCAAAUUUCUAGUAUAGAGUCUUUGAAAAAGGUGUACAGGUUGCUCAAGAUGAAAAAGAACUUUUUCUAAAUUCUCUAAUGAAAAGUCAGGUUGAUGUCAAGCACUUGUAGUCAGCUGUCAGGAAAGGUAACCCCGAGCCAGUAGCAACAAAAGUGACGAAUACGUUGUUGAUAAUGUGAACAUUGUCAAUCCAUUCAUCUUAGAAAACAUUGAUGAAACUAGCUGGAAAUGCUUAUGGAGUACGUGCGAACAUGCAAAUUCUUCAACUUGUUCCAAACUUGUAGGUAUUUGGCUGAGCUCAAAUCUGGCAGUGAAAGGAAAAAAGCUGCUGAGAGUACAUUAAGUCUACUCAGAUGUACGCAGGCGAUGAUGGAGAUGCCCAGCCCAGUCAUUACGGAAGGCAAUUGGAGAUCAUGUUUCCAUAUAAGGCCUCAGCUUAAAUUUUAGAUUAACGUUUUUUACGAAGAUUGAUUUUAAUGCUCUUGAACCAUUGUACUUCUCAUUAUACAUGAAAAUAUGUAAACAACUGAAGGUAUUCUUACGAAAUAACUUUCAUAUUUUCAAAUUCAGAAACUUAGAUUCUUAAACAAAGUUAGUAUUUAUCUUUGAAUUAACCAAAUUGUUGUAUGAUUUAUAUAUUUUUUACAAGAUGAUAUAUAUGAAUAUAUAUCUUGAUGGAUU
This is a long non-coding RNA of Papaver somniferum (opium poppy), 2377 nucleotides long. RefSeq lists it as uncharacterized. Lineage: Eukaryota; Viridiplantae; Streptophyta; Magnoliopsida; Ranunculales; Papaveraceae. The record is from RefSeq and is a predicted model, not a curated record. The transcript has 7 exons.